UACCUGCAGUAACGGCGAGUGAAGCGGUAACAGCUCAAAUUUGAAAUCUGGGUCUUUCAGGCUCCGAGUUGUAAUUUGUAGAAGAUGCUUCGGGUGCGGCUCCGGUCUAAGUCCCUUGGAACAGGGCGUCAUAGAGGGUGAGAAUCCCGUAUGUGAUCGGUGGCCUGCGCCCGUGUGAAGCUCUUUCGACGAGUCGAGUUGUUUGGGAAUGCAGCUCAAAAUGGGUGGUAUAUUUCAUCUAAAGCUAAAUAUUGGCCAGAGACCGAUAGCGCACAAGUAGAGUGAUCGAAAGAUGAAAAGCACUUUGGAAAGAGAGUUAAACAGUACGUGAAAUUGUUGAAAGGGAAGCGCUUGCAACCAGACUUGCGCGUUGUUGAUCAUCCGGGGUUCUCCCCGGUGCACUCGACCUCGCUCAGGCCAGCAUCGGUUUCGGUGGUUGGAUAAAGGCCUUGGGAAUGUAGCUUCUUUCGGGGAGUGUUAUAGCCCUCGGUGCAAUGCAGCCUACCGGGACCGAGGACCGCGCUUCGGCUAGGAUGCUGGCGUAAUGGUUGUAAGCGACCCGUCUUGAAACACGGACCAAGGAGUCUAACAUCUAUGCGAGUGUUUGGGUGUCAAACCCAUGCGCGUAAUGAAAGUGAACGGAGGUGAGAACCCUUUAGGGUGCAUCAUCGACCGAUCCUGAUGUCUUCGGAUGGAUUUGAGUAAGAGCAUAGCUGUUGGGACCCGAAAGAUGGUGAACUAUGCCUGAAUAGGGUGAAGCCAGAGGAAACUCUGGUGGAGGCUCGCAGCGGUUCUGACGUGCAAAUCGAUCGUCAAAUUUGGGUAUAGGGGCGAAAGACUAAUCGAACCAUCUAGUAGUGGUUUUUUCGACGAGACU
RNAcentral lists this ribosomal RNA (877 nucleotides) under Pezicula italica. Its description in RNAcentral is "Pezicula sp. WJL-2020a partial large subunit ribosomal RNA". It matches the Rfam family "Eukaryotic large subunit ribosomal RNA", at positions 76 to 971 of the family's 3401-position model. The record is from RNAcentral. Lineage: Eukaryota; Fungi; Ascomycota; Leotiomycetes; Helotiales; Dermateaceae.